RNAcentral lists this ribosomal RNA (274 nucleotides) under uncultured bacterium. Its description in RNAcentral is "partial 16S ribosomal RNA". It matches the Rfam family "Bacterial small subunit ribosomal RNA", at positions 523 to 796 of the family's 1533-position model. The record is from RNAcentral.
AUACGAAAGGUGCAAGCGUUGUUCGGAUUUACUGGGCGUAAAGAGAGUGUAGGUUGUUUAUUAAGUCGGAUGUGAAAUCCCGGGGCUCAACCUCGGAACUGCAUUCGAUACUGAUAGGCUAGAGUUUGGGAGGGGUAAGCGGAAUUCCGUGUGUAGCAGUGAAAUGCGUAGAUAUACGGAGGAACACCUGAGGCGAAGGCAGCUUACUGGACCAAUACUGACACUGAGACUCGAAAGCGUGGGGAGCAAACAGGAUUAGAAACCCUAGUAGUCC